Molecule: long non-coding RNA, 1115 nt
Filed under: Vulpes vulpes (red fox)
Lineage: Eukaryota; Metazoa; Chordata; Mammalia; Carnivora; Canidae
Description: lncRNA (ENSVVUG00000030032.1)
Source: RNAcentral
CCCGCCGCGCACACAGCGGGUUCUCCCACAAAAAAGCAUUACGUGAUUUUUGUUCACAGUUUAUCUAUUUAAUUUCUUCAACUCNCUGGGCCCCCCUCAGACCAUCCCCCCAACCCCCACAGUCUUGGCCCCCGCAGGUGCACACACGAGGCGGCCGGACCUCCAGGCCCCGCCGCGCACACAGCGGGUUCUCCCACAAAAAAGCAUUACGUGAUUUUUGUUCACAGUUUAUCUAUUUAAUUAGUCUUCAACUCUUUGUGAUAUUUCACAUUAUCUUUAAUUCUGCAGGUAUUUGCUUCCAUCUCUUGUUUAAACGUCUUAAAAGUCCAUUCUUAUUCUCCUGGGCCCCCCCUAGGGGCCCCCCCGGACUCCUGUCCCCCCUCAGGUGCAUGGCACAAACCUGAUGACCAAAACCGUGAUGUGAUGGCAAGUGUGUAUUUGUAGAUCCUACGGGCUUGUUCCCACCCCAGCACAGGCCAAGCCAGAUAAGUAUCUUAGCCAUGUUUGCUUAUUGGCUUAUUUUCUUUUAGAGUUUCUCCCAGGAUAGGUCACUUUUUCCUGGUCUGGAAAGGGGAGUUACAGAGAAGUCUAAUUCAACCCACCCAUCCACACACACCCCCCCCCAACACUCCGAUCACAUGGGCCAAAGUUCGUCACGGAUAUUUUCUAGUAAAAUUUGAUUUCUGAUGUUGGUAGAGAUACUAGCUUUUAGCCGACUAUUCUGGCUUUCACUUUUCUUUUUGAUUUCUCCUUAGGUGUUUUUCUUACUUGGGGUGGGGUUGGACUUAACUAUACAUUUAAAAUAACGUUUAUUAUAUUUCUUUCCAGGAUUUCUGGCUGUAUUAUAGUGAGAUAUUAUUCAGGCUAUUUAUCUUGCCAUAGUGUUAUUUGAAAUGUUUCCUGGCUUUCCUUCGGAGCUGUUUGCUUCCAUGCUGCUAGAUUCCUCCAAACCAGGUGAUGCAGCUCCUCGAAAUCUACAAAUUCAGCAUGAGGCUCUUACAAAUAGUAAAGGAUGUUGGCUUAUGGCAGAGGCUCCUCCUGAGACUACAGAAGAGAAUAUCACAUUUCUUGAUGCUGAUGAAAGUGGGAAAAGUAGAGAACCUUCAGAAGCCUGA